UUUCAUGUAGUUUAUUUAAAACACUUUAUUUUCAUUAAAAAGAAAUUCAUAAAAUUAUGAAAA
This 63-nucleotide transfer RNA is filed under the name Roxasellana stellata. RNAcentral describes it as "tRNA-Glu". Lineage: Eukaryota; Metazoa; Arthropoda; Insecta; Hemiptera; Cicadellidae. The record is from RNAcentral.